UCGAGGACAGCAAGGCCAGAUCAUCCCACCUCCCUGGCCACCUUACCCCCUCCUUCCUCGGCUCCCAGCCUCCUCACGGCCCACGAUGCUCCAGGACCCCAGCAACCUGGGAGUUGAGGCUGGCUCUCCACCUGCGCAAGUGUGGGCAACAGCUUCAGGAGUCCUUGACAACUGCCCUAUUCCUGGAAGCCCACCGAAAUUACUCAACUAAGCAGAUGUCUGGGACCAAAGAAAAUCACAAAUGUUCCUGGAAAAUUGCAGAGUUAAGCAAACCUCUGUUAAGUCAUGUUUGAAUGAUUACCAAGGUUCUACGAAAGUCCUGUGACCACUUCCUAAUUGCAAGAAGAAAACAACCAAAAGGUUGCCAGCUAGCAGUAUGAAUUGGUCCUGUAAUUUGUGUUAGAAAUAGAACUUUGUGGACUAUCUCCUUACUAGCUUCAAGCAGUAAAAACCAUUUGCUCAAACCAAAAGACUUGGCUGAUCUUUUGGCUGAUGCACCUCCAGCAAGGAGCCCUUUGUGUUCAGUAAAAAACUUGGUGACCUAUAUGGGUCAGUUACCCUACCUAGUAAGACCCCUGCUCUUCCACCUAAGAGAAGGUGACCUUGGAACAAUCUUUUGCUAAUAACCUUCUUGCCAGUCCCCCUUCUUAUAAAAACCUUCCAUUUUGUACAACUUCGAGGCUUGCUAGGUGGGAUGCUGCCUGAUUCACCAAUCAUUUAAUAAAGCCAAGUGGAUGUUCAAAUUUACCCGGCUGAAUUCUAGUUUGUAACACUACUUAAGAUAAACUCCCUGUACACCUGGCCCAGCAUUAACACAGGACAGGGAAUUAUGUCUCUCUUAAUUUUUUAAAAAUCUCAUGUUGAAUCUCUCAAAUCAGCAGCAACAACAUAGAGUUCUAAAAUUCUUAUCAUUUAUUACGAAUAGUUGAAAGUUAAAAAAAAAAAAUGUCCUUGCUUUCAACAUUUUCUUUCGGUAACAGCUAAUAGCUUCGUACUCGCCGUCUCCCAUGGCUUCCUCUCUGGGGUUCUCGCCCCUUCUCUGGCGGUCUCAGGCUCCCCAGCUCUCCAACUCCCACAACAGUCCCAGGAAAAGUUUCACCU
This 1101-nucleotide long non-coding RNA is filed under the name Canis lupus familiaris (dog). RNAcentral describes it as "lncRNA (ENSCAFG00805012523.1, ENSCAFG00845007525.1)". The record is from RNAcentral. Lineage: Eukaryota; Metazoa; Chordata; Mammalia; Carnivora; Canidae.